This is a non-coding RNA of Podarcis lilfordi (Lilford's wall lizard), 201 nucleotides long. NCBI's taxonomy places the organism in Eukaryota, Metazoa, Chordata, Lepidosauria, Squamata, Lacertidae. The record is from the annotation of a GenBank genome assembly.
UACAGUGGUGCCUCGCAAGACGAAAAGAAUCCGUUCUGGGAGUCUCUUCGUCUAGCGGUUUUUUCGUCUUGCGAAGCAAGCCCAUUGAUGGGAUUAGCGGAUUAGCGCUAUUAGCGCUAUUAGCGGCUUUUAGCGGCUUUUAGCGGCUUUUAGCAGCUUAUCAGCUUAUCGGAUAAGCAGAUAAGCGGCUUAGCGACUUAG